This 234-nucleotide unclassified non-coding RNA is filed under the name uncultured fungus. RNAcentral describes it as "partial contains 5.8S ribosomal RNA, internal transcribed spacer 2, and large subunit ribosomal RNA". The record is from RNAcentral. Lineage: Eukaryota; Fungi.
AACGCACAUUGCGCCCCCUGGUAUUCCGGGGGGCACACCUGUUCGAGCGCCAUUUCAACCCUCAAGCCCCGCUUGGUGAUGGGCCCCGCCUGCGGGCGGGCCCGAAACUCGUGGGCGUCGUCGUUCGGCUCCAAGCGUAGCAAAACCCUCGCUUGGGCGCCCGGACGGCGGCCGCCCGGAACGAAUUUUUACAAGGUUGGCCUCGGAUCAGGUGGGGAUGCCCGCUGAACUUAA